This 492-nucleotide ribosomal RNA is filed under the name uncultured bacterium. RNAcentral describes it as "partial 16S ribosomal RNA". It matches the Rfam family "Bacterial small subunit ribosomal RNA", at positions 29 to 507 of the family's 1533-position model. The record is from RNAcentral.
AGUGAACGCUGGCGGUAGGCCUAACACAUGCAAGUCGAACGGCAGCACAGUAAGAGCUUGCUCUUACGGGUGGCGAGUGGCGGACGGGUGAGGAAUACAUCGGAAUCUACUUUUUCGUGGGGGAUAACGUAGGGAAACUUACGCUAAUACCGCAUACGACCUACGGGUGAAAGCAGGGGAUCUUCGGACCUUGCGCGAUUGAAUGAGCCGAUGUCGGAUUAGCUAGUUGGCAGGGUAAAGGCCCACCAAGGCGAGGAUCCGUAGCUGGUCUGAGAGGAUGGUCGGCAGCACUGGAACUGAGACCAGGUCCAGACUCCGACGGGAGGCAGCAGUAGGGAAUCGUGCACAAGGGGCGAAAGUCUGACGGAGCAACGCCGCGUGAGUGAUGAAGGUCUUCGGAUCGUAAAACUCUGUUAUUAGGGAAGAACAAAUGUGUCAGUAACUAUGCACGUCUUGACGGUACCUAAUCAGAAAGCCACGGCUAACUACGUG